Molecule: RNase P RNA, 373 nt
Filed under: Opitutales bacterium
Lineage: Bacteria; Pseudomonadati; Verrucomicrobiota; Opitutia; Opitutales
Description: RNase P RNA component class A
Rfam family: Bacterial RNase P class A
About the family: Ribonuclease P (RNase P) is a ubiquitous endoribonuclease, found in archaea, bacteria and eukarya as well as chloroplasts and mitochondria.
Source: RNAcentral
CUCGAUGCGGAGGGAAUUCGGUGAGGCUACGGUAACACGUAGUUACUUACAGGAAAGUCCGGACACCGCAGAGUAGGGCACCGUGUGAAAGCGCGGGCACAGUUUGUAAAGGGCUGUGACGGAAAGUGCAACAGAAAGGAUACCGCCGCAAGGUAAGGGUGAAAAGGCGAGGUAAGAGCUCACCGGAGUCGUAGUAAUGCGAUUCGCAAUGAAAACCCUGUCCGGUGCAAGGCCAAAUAUGGAUCCGAGUGGCUCGCUCGAUGGUUCCGGGUUGGUCGCACUUCGAAAGGAGCAGGGUGUUGCCCUGAGAGAAAUGAAUUCCGAGUGUUUUUCGUAACACUUACAGAAUCCGGCUUAUAUCCGGUCGAGCGCC